Gorilla gorilla gorilla (western lowland gorilla) is the source of this 999-nucleotide long non-coding RNA. RefSeq lists it as uncharacterized. The transcript is spliced from 2 exons. The record is from RefSeq and is a predicted model, not a curated record. Lineage: Eukaryota; Metazoa; Chordata; Mammalia; Primates; Hominidae.
UCAAGGGAAGAGAUACAGAGGGGAUACGAAGAGAGCUGAGGCCUAGAAUGAUCCAGAUAGAACAGAGAGUGCAGAAGGAAGAUUUCAACUCCUGUAUUCAGAUAAGACGGUGUAACACGUUUUGGAGGUAAUUUAUACUGUCACCUGUACUGGAGAUAGAGAGGAAAGAAAAUCCCUGAAGGAGGAUUCUCCCUCCCUGAAGAAGGAGGAGAUCGUCGCCUAAAGAAGGAUAGUCUGGGACCACAGAAAGCUGGGGACAAGGAGACGAAUAGACAGACUGUGUGAAGGAAAAAAGGUGCUCAAUAUCCUGGUUUACAGUUUUCCAAUGCAAUAAUUUAUACUUUCAAGACUUCAGUAGAAUGUGACAGCAUUACAUACUGCGUAAAUGGAGUUGGGAGAAGUUAACUUUGAAAUUCUACGUCCAUAUUCACUGCAAUUGAACUGGAGACAAAGAUGGGCAAGGAGAAAAGACGUUAAAUGGAAGUGGUAACCCUAAGGCUGGAAGAAGAGAUGCAAAUAAAGGCUGGAAUGGAUUUGUGGAAUUUGUAACAAACACUUCCUAGAAGCGAUUCUCAGUAAAAGGGGGCAGAGACAGGUGCACUAAGUUAGCAAACAAAUUCCAACAAUGUGCACUGGGGGGUCAUAUCCCAGGGAUGCCAUGAAAGGAAAGGCCCAGGCUUGGCAGAAAAAGGGACGGGGCAGGUGUGGAACUCCCACAUUACCUUUCUCCUUCUCUUCCUGAAGACGUUUUGCCAAAAGCAUAUAAUUCAACUUCUGAAAAAUACGAAUGGUCUUCAUCACUGCAGACACCGCCCCAGCAUUUUGAAUCAUCAAGGUAGCUACUUGUAUUCUGUUUGCAGUAUGUAGUUUGCCUGUGGCGAUAUUAAACUCGUCUGAAAGAAAGAACUUAAACCUAUCCAGUUCCUCAUCAGUGAUGUUAUCCAGGCCUGUUAGCAAGAGUAUCUCCUUGUAUUUACUCUCCAUCUGACAACUUUGGGA